This 67-nucleotide transfer RNA is filed under the name Oophaga pumilio (strawberry poison frog). RNAcentral describes it as "tRNA-Leu". Lineage: Eukaryota; Metazoa; Chordata; Amphibia; Anura; Dendrobatidae. The record is from RNAcentral.
AGCGUAGCAAAAUUUGGUUUUGCCGAAGAUCUAAACUCUUCUCAUGGAAGUUCAAAUCUUCUCGUUA